AAAAAAGCCUCCUGAGGCUUCUGGUUGCCCUUGCCCAGAAAGGGCAGCCAAGUCAAACACAAGAUUUGGACUCUAAAAGGAGACCUCGAAGACUUUUUCAACUUUUGGAAUCACAUCAAUGAGCAAAGAGGAAAGAUUUCUGCGUGAUUUUUUUCCAAGUCCUGGAGGUAGAGUGUUAUCAAGUACCUGAAGGAAAGCAUGCCAGGUCGCCAAGAAUGGAUGUUCCAGGCCUCUGCAAACCAAAUCUCACUGAACUCCAGCAACAGGCUUCAACACUGACAAGGACAGCCAGGUCUUCGGGGAGCUGGCUAGAGCCCAGACACAUGCAAGCAUUUGCACAUACUGAAGCUAAUCCCGUCAGCAGCUCUUUUAUAUGAUGGAAAGGACACCAUGAAAAAAACACACAGGACAAAAAGAUAUUGGGAACAAUGCAUCUUAAUUUCUGGAG
This is a long non-coding RNA of Meriones unguiculatus (Mongolian gerbil), 448 nucleotides long. RefSeq lists it as uncharacterized. Lineage: Eukaryota; Metazoa; Chordata; Mammalia; Rodentia; Muridae. The record is from RefSeq and is a predicted model, not a curated record. The transcript has 3 exons.